AUCAUUACCGAGUGCGGGUCCCUCGUGGCCCAACCUCCCAUCCGUGUUGACCGACACCUGUUGCUUCGGCGGGCCCGCCAGGGCUCCCGCCCCGGCCGCCGGGGGGCAUCGCCCCCGGGCCCGCGCCCGCCGAAGACCCCUCGAACGCUGCCUUGAAGGUUGCCGUCUGAGUAUCAAAUCAAUCGUUAAAACUUUCAACAACGGAUCUCUUGGUUCCGGCAUCGAUGAAGAACGCAGCGAAAUGCGAUAAGUAAUGUGAAUUGCAGAAUUCCGUGAAUCAUCGAAUCUUUGAACGCACAUUGCGCCCCCUGGCAUUCCGGGGGGCAUGCCUGUCCGAGCGUCAUUGCUAACUCUCCAGCCCGGCUGGUGUGUUGGGCCGUCGUCCCCUCCGGGGGACGGGCCCGAAAGGCAGCGGCGGCGCCGCGUCCGGUCCUCGAGCGUAUGGGGCUUUGUCACGCGCUCUGGUAGGCCCGGCCGGCUUGCUGGCCAACGACCUCACGGUCACCUAACUUCUCUCUUAGGUUGACCUCGGAUCAGGUAGG
RNAcentral lists this ribosomal RNA (542 nucleotides) under Paecilomyces niveus. RNAcentral's name for it is "eukaryotic LSU rRNA". The stretch from base 190 to 343 matches the Rfam family "5.8S ribosomal RNA". Lineage: Eukaryota; Fungi; Ascomycota; Eurotiomycetes; Eurotiales; Thermoascaceae. The record is from RNAcentral.